Molecule: non-coding RNA, 600 nt
Organism: Chrysochloris asiatica (Cape golden mole)
Lineage: Eukaryota; Metazoa; Chordata; Mammalia; Afrosoricida; Chrysochloridae
Source: the annotation of a RefSeq genome assembly
AUGGAUCAGCCCAAUCUGACUCUCAGUGACUUCUGGUCUCAGCAGGAAGCCUAUGACAAUGUGAUUUUUGCGGUAGAAGAGGCUUGCUUGUCUGUGACUCAGGCUGGGCUGACUCAGCCGUCCUCAGUGUCUAAGGGGCUAAAAGAGACAAUCACAAUCACCUGCACUGGAGACAGCAAUAAUCCGUCCUCAGUGUCUAAGGGGCUGAAAGAGACAAUCAAAAUCACCUGCAUUGGAGACAGCAAUAAUGUAGGUUAUGAGGGUGCAGGAUGGGUUCAGCAGCGUGAGAGUCAGGGACCCCAAACUCUUAUAUACAGGAAUAAUAACCGGCACCCAGGGAUCUCAGAGAGGUUCUCUGGCUCCAGGUCUGGCAAUGUGGCCACCCUGACCAUUUCUGGACUCGAACUGGAAGAUGAGGCUGAUUAUUUCUGUGCAGCCUGGGACAAAGGUCUCAGUGCUUGCACAGUGCUUGGAGCCAGUGAGGAAGUGAGACAAAAAUCUUCAAACCGAGGAGCUUCCUCCUGCCUACUCACUACUCAGAGCUUUGGGUACAAUGAACCUUUGAGGAGAUGUGGGCUGGGUUCCUGCUGGACAAUUUGA